Elaeis guineensis (African oil palm) is the source of this 1057-nucleotide non-coding RNA. NCBI's taxonomy places the organism in Eukaryota, Viridiplantae, Streptophyta, Magnoliopsida, Arecales, Arecaceae. The record is from RefSeq and is a predicted model, not a curated record.
CAAGUAGCCUUCUCCUCGUUUGACACCUACUUCCACUGUUUUGCUCCCGCUCUGCUCUGCUCUUCUCUUGCUGUGUUGUACCCUUUUUAUCUCCCCGUAGUCUUCUCUACCACUCUGUUGAGAGAUGUACCUAUCUAAGUGGAGGAUGAGUGGAGCUGAGCAAUGGAGCCGAGAAUGGCAAGUGGGGCUAGAAGGAGGAUCAAGAGGACGGCAGAGAGGAUAUGAGGUACUUGAAGAGGAAGGAGAUGCCGUGGAUGCUGCAAUUUAUUGCUGCCAAAAUCCAAUCUGAAACCCUGAAGGACACACAUAAGAAAAAUAGAGCGGAGGUCAUAAGAAUUACCCGGUGGAAGGAUUCUCCGCUGCACAAGUAUGAGAAUAAGAUGUAACGUAUGAGGGAGAAAGAUCUGGUGACGUAACAAGUAUGUCGAAAGCGAUGGGUCGCCCAAUGGAGAUCUGUCCAACUUUUUUUUUUCAUUAGAAAAAAACUGUUUCCCUUUUUUUUUAGUACCAUAUAUCAACAUGCGAUUGGAGGUCGGAUUUGGAACACAUCACCACGGUUGUCGACCAGGGGGAGGCAGCGAUCCCCGGCAAGCGGGUGGUCGACGCGCUGGGAGACCUUAAGCAUGCUGAUGUAGCUGUGCCGGGACUUGAAUUUGGCGUUGUUGGCUGGGAUGCCAUCGUCGUCGUCCUCGGCACGGGGAUUCUUGGGGCAUCAGAUAGAUUGCGUUGUCGGAUUUUUGACGGCUUGUCGGGUCGUGCUAGGUUUUGCUAAUCGAGAGAGGUUGGAGGGAUGGUGUGUUUUUCUUUUAUUUUUUUCAAUUGUUAUUAUGUUUUAGAAUCCUUAGAGGGCAAGACUCAUGGAGUAGCCAAUGAAGAAGCGAAAAGUCCGGAUCCCGGUCCAAGGUAACAUAUUAACCUUCGAUGCUUAUUUAUGGAUUAGAAACGCAGCUUGCAUGUCUUAUGUCUUCUUUUUUCGUGAGCAAAUCGUGGCAGAGAAGACUUGUAUCUUAUUCACCAAAUGAUGCCCGUAAAUAUUGUGCAGACCACUUUCUUGCUA